GAUAAGAAACGAGCAGAGCCGCUUCCGCGUCAGCCGCAUCCCACUCCGGCUCCUACUCAGGCCGCCACCGCCAUAGAGCGGACAGAAAGAGAAACUGCAGCAGCAGGCUGCGGCCCCGGCGUCGUCCGGCGCAGGCCCAGAGAAUAGGAGACCUUGUAAAGAGAGAGAGAGACCAUGCAGAGCGGAAACAAUGGACCCAGGUUGACAACCAGCACCAAAGCCCAGAUGGAGGAGCAAGACCAUUUUGGACCCUCCAGCCCUAGUUGAGGGCCUCAGACAGUAUCAUGUGGAGUGGAGAAGAGCCACCUCAACUGGUUUUUGCUGGAAUUUCUAACCCACAGAGUCGUAAGCAAUAAAAUUGUUGUUGUUUUAAGCCACCAAA
Callithrix jacchus (white-tufted-ear marmoset) is the source of this 382-nucleotide long non-coding RNA. RefSeq lists it as uncharacterized. The record is from RefSeq and is a predicted model, not a curated record. Lineage: Eukaryota; Metazoa; Chordata; Mammalia; Primates; Cebidae.